GAUGAACGCUGGCGGCGUGCCUAACACAUGCAAGUCGAGCGAACAGAUGAGAAGCUUGCUUCUCUGAUGUUAGCGGCGGACGGGUGAGUAACACGUGGGUAACCUACCUAUAAGACUGGGAUAACUCCGGGAAACCGGGGCUAAUACCGGAUAAUAUUUUGAACCGCAUGGUUCAAUAGUGAAAGACGGAUUCGGCUGUCACUUAUAGAUGGACCCGCGCCGUAUCAGCUAGUUGGUAAGGUAACGGCUUACCAAGGCGACGAUACGUAGCCGACCUGAGAGGGUGAUCGGCCACACUGGAACUGAGACACGGUCCAGACUCCUACGGGAGGCAGCAGUAGGGAAUCUUCCGCAAUGGGCGAAAGCCUGACGGAGCAACGCCGCGUGAGUGAUGAAGGUCUUCGGAUCGUAAAACUCUGUUGUUAGGGAAGAACAAAUUUGUUAGUAACUGAACAAGUCUUGACGGUACCUAACCAGAAAGCCACGGCUAACUACGUGCCAGCCGCCGCAGUAA
Molecule: ribosomal RNA, 514 nt
Filed under: uncultured bacterium
Lineage: Bacteria
Description: partial 16S ribosomal RNA
Rfam family: Bacterial small subunit ribosomal RNA
Source: RNAcentral